CCCUUUGCCCAGCGCUUUAUAGCAUAUCGCCUCUUCUAUGGGGCUCCUCAAGAACUGUAUUCCAGAAAUUACUGGAAAUGUGUCCUCUUCAGGAGGCAGUGUUUACAUCUUACCAUCUUACUGGACUCUUUCUGUGAGGCUCCUCACAUACCUUUAAGAAGAGCAGCAUUUCCCUCGUGUGAAAUGUAGAGGUGAGCUUGGCUUCCUGUUUGCCGGGAGUAUCUAAAGCAGCCGUUCUUACCCUGUGGGUUGAGACCCUCAGAGGGGUCGCAUCUCAGAUGAUAUCCUGCAGUCAGAGAUCCUGCACAUCAGAGACCCUGCAUAUCAGAGAUCCUGCAAUCAGAGAUCCUGCACAUCAGAGACCCUGCACAUCAGAGACCCUGCACAUCAGAGAUCCUGGUUGAUGCUUACCACAAUGCCAAAGGAACUGUAUUAAAGGGUUGCAGCAUUAGGAAGGUUAAAAACCACUGGAAAAAGGCAAAUGUCUGAACAAUAACUGUUUG
RNAcentral lists this long non-coding RNA (503 nucleotides) under Mus spretus (western wild mouse). RNAcentral's name for it is "lncRNA (ENSMSPG00010010046.1)". Lineage: Eukaryota; Metazoa; Chordata; Mammalia; Rodentia; Muridae. The record is from RNAcentral.